UACGUAGGGUGCAAGCGUUAAUCGGAAUUACUGGGCGUAAAGCGUGCGUAGGUGGUGAGUUAAGUCUGUCGUGAAAGCCCCGGGCUCAACCUGGGAAUGGCGAUGGAUACUGGCUCGCUAGAGUGCGGUAGAGGAGAGUGGAAUUCCCGGUGUAGCAGUGAAAUGCGUAGAUAUCAGGAGGAACACCGAUGGCGAAGGCAGGUCUCUGGGCCGAUACUGACGCUGAGGAGCGAAAGCGUGGGGAGCGAACAGG
Molecule: ribosomal RNA, 253 nt
Filed under: uncultured bacterium
Lineage: Bacteria
Description: partial 16S ribosomal RNA
Rfam family: Bacterial small subunit ribosomal RNA
Source: RNAcentral